Molecule: long non-coding RNA, 260 nt
Filed under: Lathyrus oleraceus (garden pea)
Lineage: Eukaryota; Viridiplantae; Streptophyta; Magnoliopsida; Fabales; Fabaceae
Description: Pisum sativum (pea) long non-coding RNA (PSAT_LNC003002)
Source: RNAcentral
UGAGAGACGCAGUGUGAGAGAGACGGAAGUGUCUAUUGCAUUGUUUCCUUAUUUUCUUUUUUAAUUUAUUUUAAACAGAAUAAGUCUUUUUGAAACUAUUAAGAUUUUUGUUUAAACUUCCUAAAUUUUAGUUAAUAAAUGUUUACACAUUUUCAAUUCAUAUUCCAUUGAAAAACCCAACAGCCAGGCGGCUAGGGUAUCUUUCCUUGUUUUCUCCCAUUUGGUAGUCCAACAGACUACUUCCUUUUAGUUUCUAUUUU